AAGUCGUAACAAGGUAUCCGUAGGUGAACCUGCGGAUGGAUCAUUACCAAUUUCUAUAUUAUAAAACUGCUCAAGCCCCGCAACGGGUUUGGGCAACUUUUAUAAAUGUAAAUUGUUGAACCUGUUAUAUUAUUCUGUGUGGUUCAGUGUUAUUACUUGGCCACCAGCAUUUAUAAAAUCUAAAACAUUUUAUAUUAACUACUACUAUACUACUAAUAACUAUAUAUAUAAUACUUUUUAUAGCCCACAAGCUGUAAAAAACAACUAAUAUAAAAAACAACUUUCAACAAUGGAUCUCUAGGCUCUC
This 307-nucleotide unclassified non-coding RNA is filed under the name fungal sp. RNAcentral's name for it is "partial internal transcribed spacer region". The stretch from base 1 to 46 matches the Rfam family "Eukaryotic small subunit ribosomal RNA", at positions 1786 to 1831 of the family's 1831-position model. The record is from RNAcentral. Lineage: Eukaryota; Fungi.